AUUGAACGCUGGCGGCAGGCCUAACACAUGCAAGUCGAACGGUAACAGGAAGAAGCUUGCUUCUUUGCUGACGAGUGGCGGACGGGUGAGUAAUGUCUGGGAAACUGCCUGAUGGAGGGGGAUAACUACUGGAAACGGUAGCUAAUACCGCAUAACGUCGCAAGACCAAAAAGGUGGACCUUCGUGCCUCUUGCCAUCGGAUGUGCCCAGAUGGGAUUAGCUAGUAGGUGGGGUAACGGCUCACCUAGGCGACGAUCCCUAGCUGGUCUGAGAGGAUGACCAGACACACUGGAACUGAGAAACGGUCCAGACUCCUACGGGAGGCAGCAGUGGGGAAUAUUGCACAAUGGGCGCAAGCCGGAUGCAGCCAUGCCGCGUGUAUGAAGAAGGCCUUCGGGUUGUAAAGUACUUUCAGCGGGGAGGAAGGGAGUAAAGUUAAUACCUUUGCUCAUUGACGUUACCCGCAGAAGAAGCACCGGCUAACUCCGUG
This 490-nucleotide ribosomal RNA is filed under the name uncultured bacterium. Its description in RNAcentral is "partial 16S ribosomal RNA". It matches the Rfam family "Bacterial small subunit ribosomal RNA", at positions 30 to 507 of the family's 1533-position model. The record is from RNAcentral.